RNAcentral lists this ribosomal RNA (2136 nucleotides) under Triticum aestivum (bread wheat). Its description in RNAcentral is "partial small subunit ribosomal RNA". Lineage: Eukaryota; Viridiplantae; Streptophyta; Magnoliopsida; Poales; Poaceae. The record is from RNAcentral.
AUGGUUGAAACACUGAAAUGCACUGAAAUUCUGAUGGUUUUUGAUUUCUGCUUUUCCUUCUUGGCAGACUUCCGGUUCUUGAAAAGGCUUAUUCUUGUCCAUGGACGAUACUCGCACAACCGUACUGCCUUCCUUUCGCAGUAUUCAUUCUACAAUUAUUGCCGAACAAGUUUAUUCAAUUCAGUUAGUUGGAUGGCUUAUAAUGUCUUCUAUGCAAGCAUUCCUGUUCUAACUACUGCUCUGGACAAGGAUUUAUCUGAAAAGACAGUGGCACAGAACCCAGAAAUUUUACUUUACUGCCAGGCUGGAAGGCUUUUAAUCCAAAAUUAUGAGUUCUUAAACUCAUCCUUUCACUUUUCUGCAGUUUCUGGCUAUAUGGGGAAACUUUGCUGCUUUCUACUACAUCAUAAAUUUCUGUAUCAGCAGUUCAGCACCAUACCAACUGCUGGGAUGUACACUAUCAUGUACCGCCUUUGUAGACAGCCGCCAUACUGGAUAACAAUGCUGCUAAUCAGUGGAGUUGGCAUGGGUCCUGUAAUAGCUCUGAGAUAUUUCAGAUGUACAUACAGUCCUAGUGCUAUUAACACUCUUCAGAAGGCCGAGCGAUCACGUGGCCAAUGUAAUCUGGAAUCUCAACUGAGAUCAGUGAACGAUAAUUCGACCAGCUAUCGAGCGACGAUGCUGAUUCCGCGGACCACGUCUAGGACUGGGACAAGAAUCGCCCACCGGCCACCGCACCGCCUGUUCCACGUUCUCAUCCACGCGUUCGUCGUGGCUCGCGGUCCCUCGCGGACACGGUCAGCGAUCAACGGCAACCUCGCCACACACAGGGCAUCACAUCGCAUGGCCCGUCGCGACCCGAGCAACCUAGAAAUUUCCCGGUCCGUUCGCGCCCACCCGUCCGCCAGCGCGGCGAAGCCGUGUCCGGUAAGGAAAGGAACCGGUUGGCGCCAGGCCGCCUCCCCCUCCCCCACCGCCUCCGCGGCGGCUAUAAAACGCGCCCAGGUGCGCCCUCUCCUCCCCGCGCUCCGGUCCCGUCCCUCCUCCGACCUUUCUCGGCAUUCGAAUCCGGCCCGUGUCCUCCGCCUCCGUGCGAGCUCGGGAAGCGAUCGAUCGGGGGAUUCAUCCACUUGUGGCCUCCGUUUGGUUUGCGAUUCUAUCUCUGAAUCUGUUUUGUGUGUCCGCUUCUGUUUGCAACUGCGGAUCCUGUGUUCCUCGUAUUCGUAUUCGCAUCCGCGCGCGUUGGUUGCAGGAUCGUCGAGCCUGGUUUUCGGAAUUGGAGCUCUAAAUUGUGGAGCUGGAGGCCGAGGCAAGAUGUUGGAAUCACACGGCUUAGCGGGUGGCCCAGUUUUCCCUCGGCACGGCGAGGCGUAUCGUGCUCGUUGCAGAUUUAUUUUAGCCCAGAGAGUGCUGGUAGCCAUAUUUAGGAAGUUUGUGCUUAUGGGCAAAUCUCUGUACAGUGAGUCAGGUCAGUGUUCUAUCAACGGUUUGUUUGGUUUAGUUGUGUUCCUCCACACAUUGGUUGCAGGAUUGGAUCUGGAAUGUGGAGAUCCCUUUGGUGUUCAGAUGCAGGAGUGUAGUAUUUCUGCACAGAUGAAUCAUAGGGUGGAGGUCGUAGUUGAUGAACUCAAGUCCAACCUGAUUGAGCCCAAACCAUGCUGGUUCAUUUCUCCUAACCAAAAAUUUAUAGAGAAGGCCUCUUGCUCGCUGCAGGUUGUAGUUGAAGAACUCCUUUCCAACCCGGUUUUUGCCCCUGCCCUUCCUAUGGUUGCAGAUUGUUCUUUAGCCCAGGCCAUGUGGGCAAUGACUAGCUCUCCAUGGUUGUUACACUUGAUCCCUGUGCUCUCUUGGUCUUCUGCGAGUGUCGGUUGGCAAGAUAUAAUAGUUAGGAGUUUGGGCCCAAACCUUUGCUCUGUACAUGGAGUCAGGGUACUUGAGGCAGGUCAGUUUCCCAUGUUUGGUCACAUUGAUUUACUGGAUUCCUCAUCUGUGCUUGGUGACGUCAGAUUUGAGUGGCUCUACCUUAAGUUCCUGGUUUAUGUUUGUCUGAUGGCUGUUUGGGAGCUUCGUUCUGGAUGGAGGAGUCUUCCUCGACCACAAAAACUUAAACCUGGACUCCAUGCUUGUUUCAACUGA